GUGAUGCUGAGCACCACGCGACGACGGUAGCCGGCCUGAGAGGGUGGCCGGCCACACUGGGACUGAGACACGGCCCAGACUCCUACGGGAGGCAGCAGUGGGGAAUAUUGCACAAUGGGCGCAAGCCUGAUGCAGCAACGCCGCGUGAGGGACGACGGCCUUCGGGUUGUAAACCUCUUUUAGCAGGGAAGAAGCGAAAGUGACGGUACCUGCAGAAAAAGCACCGGCUAACUACGUGCCAGCAGCCGCGGUAAUACGUAGGGUGCAAGCGUUAUCCGGAAUUAUUGGGCGUAAAGAGCUCGUAGGCGGUUUGUCGCGUCUGCUGUGAAACCCCGAGGCUCAACCUCGGGCCUGCAGUGGGUACGGGCAGACUAGAGUGCGGUAGGGGAGAUUGGAAUUCCUGGUGUAGCGGUGGAAUGCGCAGAUAUCAGGAGGAACACCGAUGGCGAAGGCAGAUCUCUGGGCCGUUACUGACGCUGAGGAGCGAAAGCAUGGGGAGCGAACAGGAUUAGAUACCCUGGUAGUCCAUGCCGUAAACGUUGGGAACUAGAUGUGGGGGCCAUUCCACGGCUUCCGUGUCGCAGCUAACGCAUUAAGUUCCCCGCCUGGGGAGUACGGCCGCAAGGCUAAAACUCAAAGGAAUUGACGGGGGCCCGCACAAGCGGCGGAGCAUGCGGAUUAAUUCGAUGCAACGCGAAGAACCUUACCAAGGCUUGACAUAUACGAGAACGCUGCAGAAAUGUAGAACUCUUUGGACACUCGUAUACAGGUGGUGCAUGGUUGUCGUCAGCUCGUGUCGUGAGAUGUUGGGUUAAGUCCCGCAACGAGCGCAACCCUCGUUCUAUGUUGCCAGCACGUAAUGGUGGGAACUCAUAGGAGACUGCCGGGGUCAACUCGGAGGAAGGUGGGGAUGACGUCAAAUCAUCAUGCCCCUUAUGUCUUGGGCUUCACGCAUGCUACAAUGGCCCGGUACAAAGGGCUGCAAUACCGCAAGUGGAGCGAAUCCCAAAAAGCCCGGUCCUCAGUUCGGAUUGAGGUCUGCAACUCGAACCCUCCAUGAAGUCC
This 1065-nucleotide ribosomal RNA is filed under the name uncultured bacterium. Its description in RNAcentral is "bacterial SSU rRNA". It matches the Rfam family "Bacterial small subunit ribosomal RNA", at positions 249 to 1328 of the family's 1533-position model. The record is from RNAcentral.